This is a long non-coding RNA of Xiphophorus hellerii (green swordtail), 154 nucleotides long. RefSeq lists it as uncharacterized. The record is from RefSeq and is a predicted model, not a curated record. NCBI's taxonomy places the organism in Eukaryota, Metazoa, Chordata, Actinopteri, Cyprinodontiformes, Poeciliidae. The transcript is spliced from 3 exons.
AAACAACAAUGGCAACAGACACCUCCCAUGGUUGUGGAAAAGGUGCCAGUCUGUUUGAGAAGGAUCAAAUCAUUGGCAUACAUCAAGCAGAGAAAAUAUUUACUACUAAAAAUGGGUUAAGAAGUGUCCAACACAUUAAAAACUGGAAGGAUGG